This 469-nucleotide ribosomal RNA is filed under the name Phaonia alpicola. Its description in RNAcentral is "partial 16S ribosomal RNA". The stretch from base 344 to 469 matches the Rfam family "Bacterial large subunit ribosomal RNA", at positions 2473 to 2599 of the family's 2925-position model. Lineage: Eukaryota; Metazoa; Arthropoda; Insecta; Diptera; Muscidae. The record is from RNAcentral. RNAcentral also lists the same sequence under 1 other name.
UUUAAAUGGCCGCAGUAUAUUAACUGUGCAAAGGUAGCAUAAUCAUUAGUCUUUUAAUUGGAGGCUGGUAUGAAUGGUUGGACGAAAUAUUAACUGUUUCAUAUAAAUUUUUAUUAAAAUUUUAUUUUUUAGUCAAAAAGCUAAAAUUUAUUUAAAAGACGAGAAGACCCUAUAAAUCUUUAUAUUAAUAUUAUUAAAAUUUUAUAGAUUUCUUUUUUAUUUUAUUAAUUUAUAAUAUUUUAUUGGGGUGAUAUUAAAAUUUAAUAAACUUUUAAUUUAUUAAAUCAUUAUUUUAUGAUUAAAUGAUCCGUUAUUAACGAUUAAAAAUUUAAGUUACUUUAGGGAUAACAGCGUAAUUUUUUUGGAGAGUUCUUAUCGAUAAAAAAGAUUGCGACCUCGAUGUUGGAUUAAGAUAAGUUUUAGGUGUAGUUGCUUAAAUUUUAAGUCUGUUCGACUUUUAAUUUCUUAC